This 446-nucleotide ribosomal RNA is filed under the name uncultured bacterium. RNAcentral's name for it is "bacterial SSU rRNA". It matches the Rfam family "Bacterial small subunit ribosomal RNA", at positions 227 to 695 of the family's 1533-position model. The record is from RNAcentral.
GAGUCUGCGACCUAUCAGCUAGUUGGCGGGGUAACGGCCCACCAAGGCGAAGACGGGUAGUUGGUCUGAGAGGAUGAUCAGCCACACUGGGACUGAGACACGGCCCAGACUCCUACGGGAGGCAGCAGUAGGGAAUAUUGCACAAUGGAGGAAACUCUGAUGCAGCGACGCCGCGUGAGUGAUGAAGGCCUUUAGGUCGUAAAGCUCUGUAAGGAGGGAAGCUGACGGUACCUCCAAGUAAGGACCGGCUAAAUACGUGCCAGCAGCCGCGGUAAUACGUAUGGUCCCAGCGUUGUCCGGAAUAACUGGGCGUAAAGGGUGUGUAGGUGAUAUAUAUGUCAGGUGUGAAAUCCCUCGGCUUAACCGGGGCAUUGCGCUUGAAACUGUAUAUCUAGAGCGUGUCAGGGGUAAGCGGAAUUCCCGGAGUAGCGGUGAAAUGCGUAGAU